This 735-nucleotide ribosomal RNA is filed under the name uncultured Fusobacterium sp. RNAcentral describes it as "bacterial SSU rRNA". It matches the Rfam family "Bacterial small subunit ribosomal RNA", at positions 28 to 776 of the family's 1533-position model. Lineage: Bacteria; Fusobacteriati; Fusobacteriota; Fusobacteriia; Fusobacteriales; Fusobacteriaceae. The record is from RNAcentral.
GAUGAACGCUGACAGAAUGCUUAACACAUGCAAGUCAACUUGAAUUUGGGUUUUUAACUUAGAUUUGGGUGGCGGACGGGUGAGUAACGCGUAAAGAACUUGCCUCACAGCUAGGGACAACAUUUAGAAAUGAAUGCUAAUACCUGAUAUUAUGAUUUUAAGGCAUCUUAGAAUUAUGAAAGCUAUAAGCACUGUGAGAGAGCUUUGCGUCCCAUUAGCUAGUUGGAGAGGUAACAGCUCACCAAGGCGAUGAUGGGUAGCCGGCCUGAGAGGGUGAACGGCCACAAGGGGACUGAGACACGGCCCUUACUCCUACGGGAGGCAGCAGUGGGGAAUAUUGGACAAUGGACCGAGAGUCUGAUCCAGCAAUUCUGUGUGCACGAUGAAGUUUUUCGGAAUGUAAAGUGCUUUCAGUUGGGAAGAAAUAAAUGACGGUACCAACAGAAGAAGUGACGGCUAAAUACGUGCCAGCAGCCGCGGUAAUACGUAUGUCACGAGCGUUAUCCGGAUUUAUUGGGCGUAAAGCGCGUCUAGGUGGUUAUGUAAGUCUGAUGUGAAAAUGCAGAGCUCAACUCUGUAUUGCGUUGGAAACUGUAUAACUAGAGUACUGGAGAGGUAAGCGGAACUACAAGUGUAGAGGUGAAAUUCGUAGAUAUUUGUAGGAAUGCCGAUGGGGAAGCCAGCUUACUGGACAGAUACUGACGCUAAAGCGCGAAAGCGUGGGUAGCAAACAGG